GUUCUCCCACCGUGCCUUUCAGCAACAGGAGCCAAUGGACAAAACAGCCAGGACAUUGAAAAAGCUGGCAUACGGGCUCCCAAAUCUGAGGAUCUCUUCUUACUGCACAGCGCUGGGAGAAUUUAAGAACACCGAUGAUCAGCCAUGAUAGAGCUGUGAGGCAGCAGAUGGAGACACAAUAGGCCAAGCAGUUGCUAGGAGACGAGGGGCCUCUCUCAGCACCUGGUCCUCCCUUCCUCCCCCGCUUCAACCAAAGAUAUCAGUGAAUUUGUGAUGUGAGGCCCCAGACUGCGCUCACAUACGUAGAGUUAACUCCAGCUUCACCCUCAUCCCUCCUGCAACUGAAGGGCAAAGCCAAGACAGUUUACUAACCUGGAGAGACGGCCUCCUUUUCACCGUCAACAGGAAGAGUGGAAGUCAUCGUCUUAUCAGCUUCUUCCUGGCUCUGGAGGCUGAUUCUUUCUGGCAGGGCUCUCACCUUGGGGCCCCCAUCUUCUACACUGGCCUGGGGAGGUUGCUGUGUUCCUGAGAAGAAAGCACCAGAGGAACUGGCAAGAGAUUUUUUCCAUUGGUGACAUCGGGGGCAGUGAUGACUUCCUUUCUGGUACCACCGGACGUACUCGGACACUGGUGCUUGGAGGCGACCUCAUUAUGUAGUCUUUGGCUGGGCUAGAAUUCAUGGAGACCAAGCUGGCCUUAAACUGGAGAUAAUCUUCCUGCUUCUGCUACUGAGUGCUGGGAUUAAAGCACAGUGAAAACUGGCCCGAGGUAGAGAGAAAGGAUGACGGCAGUAGCGAUGAGCAUGAACAGCAGCAUCCAGGAAGGUGGUACUUCUUCCCGCAUCCCCUCCCCUUCCCCCCCCCCCCCGUUCGUGCUGGGUACACACUCUUGGUUUUACAGGCCACACCCAGCUCAUUUGCACUUCUUAGGUGCACUGGGCAGUAUUUUUCAGCCCCACUGAAAUAAACUGGGUAGCUUUUGAAACUCCACAAUCUGAACUCCAGAACAUUCAACUUUCUGGGAGGAGGGCCUAGGUAGAAGCAUUGCCUAGGAGUCCUUGGGUGGUUUUUCAGAUGCAUAGCCAGGGGUGAGCAUCACUGCUUGUGGAGAGAUGGUCCGGGGCUAGCAUUAUUUGAUUAUGAUCACAGGGUUUCUCCUGUGGUGCUGGGGACAGAAUCUGGAGCCUUUUAUAUUCAAGGCAAGUACUCGACCACUGAGAUGCACCCUGUACUCCUGGGUGUGGUUUUUUGUGAGUGAAGGACUCAUUUGGUUACCCAGGCUGGACUUGCCCUCAUCACCCUGCCUCUGCCUUCAGAGUGCUGCGAUUACAGAUUUGUGCCAUCAUGCCCAGACUGACGUCACAGGGACCAGGUGAAAACGGCAUCUCUAAGAAGCGCUCCUACUGAUCCCAUCGGUUAGGAAGCAGCCGGAUAGUCUGACCUACAGCUACCUGGCCAUAUUACCAAAACUGGCAGUUGGUGUUGACUGGACCCUGUCUAAUUCUCUUAAGGUGCUGGGUCAGCUUUUAGUUCUGGGAAUCUGUAGGGGGCAAAGUCAGGGUGAGGAGAUCCAUGGGGCUAAACAGGCAGUUCCCCCGCCCUGUCUCUAGCUUAGUGGCUGGUUAAGCAGGACCCGUCCCCCACCAGUCACACCACUCACUGCAGCCCCAUCCCAGCAAAUGGUUGCACAGGACAGAGUCAAGAGCAGCCCGAAAGUGAGACAGCCAUUUAGACAGAGCGCAUCAGUGUUGCUUUGCGAAUCUCCCAGCACAGUUUUCCCUCCCUUGGCAAAUGAGCUCUACUUCCUGUCUCUCUUCCUCAAGAUGACUCUAGGGGCGGUGGAUGAAGCCAGAUCCGGGGAGCAUGGUCACGCGAGACAGAGCUACCCUCACUGCUCUCACCGACCUUUUCCACCACAGCAGGGCCCAUGCUAGUCAAGGCCUCCUCCGGUCCCUUCAGAUUACUGACGUCUUGCUUCCAUCAGGGCCCUGCAGGGGUUCCUGAUAGGACUGGCCCUGUUCCUUUCCAGCCACUGGAGUGGGAAGCAAAAAUGCCACACGACCCCAACCCGGAGACUGUGAUUGCGCUGUCAACUUGACAGAACCUAGAAUCACCCAGGAGAUGUGCCUCUGGGCAUUAACUGAAAGGAGGAGACCCAGCUUUAACUGUGGAUGGCACCAUUCCUCGGGCAGGGGAUCCUGGACCCUAGAGACGCAGAAAGGAGAACUGAGCAGCAGCAAGUAGCCACUGUCUUCUGCUUCUUGUCUGCGGAGACAAUGAGACUCGCUGCUUCCAAGUUCCUGCCGCCUUUGACGAGCUGUACCUUGAACUGUGAACCGGUCUAUACUCCUGCUCCCCGCCCCCUUAAGUCGCUUCUGUCAGGGUUCCUUGUCGCAGCAAUGGAGAACAAAACGAAGAGAGAUGCAAGUAUCCCCUACCACUACUCUCAAGGACAUCCUGGGCCUCCUGUGGCUCUUUCUUUUUUUCCCCCGUGUGCCCUUUCUGUGCCCUUCUCUUGUUACACUACCAUUAAAGCACAUGCGCUCGGAUUCUCA
This is a long non-coding RNA of Alexandromys fortis (reed vole), 2554 nucleotides long. RefSeq lists it as uncharacterized. The transcript is spliced from 7 exons. NCBI's taxonomy places the organism in Eukaryota, Metazoa, Chordata, Mammalia, Rodentia, Cricetidae. The record is from RefSeq and is a predicted model, not a curated record.